UACGGAGGGAGCUAGCGUUGUUCGGAAUUACUGGGCGUAAAGCGCACGUAGGCGGCUUUGUAAGUUAGAGGUGAAAGCCCGGAGCUCAACUUCGGAAUUGCCUUUAAGACUGCAUCGCUUGAAUCAUGGAGAGGUCAGUGGAAUUCCGAGUGUAGAGGUGAAAUUCGUAGAUAUUCGGAAGAACACCAGUGGCGAAGGCGACUGACUGGACAUGUAUUGACGCUGAGGUGCGAAAGCGUGGGGAGCAAACAGG
This 253-nucleotide ribosomal RNA is filed under the name uncultured bacterium. Its description in RNAcentral is "partial 16S ribosomal RNA". It matches the Rfam family "Bacterial small subunit ribosomal RNA", at positions 524 to 776 of the family's 1533-position model. The record is from RNAcentral.